RNAcentral lists this unclassified non-coding RNA (229 nucleotides) under plant metagenome. RNAcentral's name for it is "partial contains small subunit ribosomal RNA, internal transcribed spacer 1, and 5.8S ribosomal RNA". The record is from RNAcentral.
UCUCCGUAGGUGAACCUGCGGAGGGAUCAUUACAGAGUUCAUGCCCUACCGGGUAGAUCUCCCACCCUAUGUUAUUAUUACUUUGUUGUUUUGGCGGGCCGUUAGGCUCCGGCCCGACUACCGGCCCCGGCUGGUAAGCGCCCGCCAGAGGACCCAAAACCCUGAAUAUUAGUGUCGUCUGAGUACUAUAUAAUAGUUAAAACUUUCAACAACGGAUCUCUUGGUUCUG